This is a long non-coding RNA of Zerene cesonia (dogface butterfly), 651 nucleotides long. RefSeq lists it as uncharacterized. The transcript is spliced from 2 exons. The record is from RefSeq and is a predicted model, not a curated record. Lineage: Eukaryota; Metazoa; Arthropoda; Insecta; Lepidoptera; Pieridae.
AGAAGUAUUAAAAAAAAAAGUUUGAAAAAAACCAAAUAAAAUAGACAAUUUAAACACCUGCCAUUUUGGCGCGCUUGAUGUGACGUCACAGUUCAUAAUAACAAACAAAGUCGUUGGUGAAGUUUCGUUUUUUGAUUAAACACCGUUGUUUCUUUUAAAUAAACCCCUAUGGAACAACAUUCUCUCUUCAUAGAACAAAACAAAAAACCCUGAUACAAGUAUUGCAUUGUGCCUAACUGCAAAAAUACAAUAAGAAAUGCUCCAGAUAAAGUAUUCUUUUUGGCCCUGAAGGCGUGGAAAUGAGUAAUAAGUGGUGUAAAGCUAUGAAAAGAGACAUGAUAUAUUCAUCAACUAGUGCCUGUAGUGAGAACAAAACAUAUAUGAACAAGGCUAUUCAAGGCUAGAUAUUCAAAUGUGGUGUCUGUACGUGAUUGCCUUGAAAUUAAAAUUGUAAAAACCAUCAAAUGCAGUCUUCUAAUCGCUAACAUGGUCACAGUACAAGAAAUCAAUACAUUAAAAUAUUUAAUAUUAUGUACUAGUAAAUUUUAUAUCUGAAGGAUAUAGCCGCAGAGCAACAGACAUGAUUGUGGAAGAUUGUGACUUUCUGAAAUGUUUGCCCUUCAAAACUGCAGUUCUGGCAGACAGGGGUUU